AAAGGAGGAACAAAUUAUAAGGAAGCCAGGCCUGAGGGUGAAGAGGAGGAAACAUGAGAGACCAGAGUGGUUUAUCAGGAGGGAAGUAGGAGAUAUAGAAUUCAAGUUCUGAUGGACAGAAUCAGGAAGGACCAUGGGAUAAAAGGUCAAUGAGAUUAGCAGUAAAGAAGAGCUGAGUGGAUCAAAAGAAAGUUAUGGAAAACACAAGGAGGAGGCAAGAUAAACAGAGACCCAGAGAAAAGAGGUGAAAACACUAAGAGUAAUAGAGAGGAGAUUGAAUUAGAUUUCUGAUGGACAUAUGGCCAAAAUAAAUAUCUCAAUAACUAAGGAUUAGCAGAUAAGGAGAAGACCAAGAGCACAGGAAAAAUAACCAACAGACGUCAAAAAGAAAGGAAGUCUGCCUCUUCUACUUCUCUUUUAAAGUUGCUUUGGUUUCCUUUUGUCCUCUUUCUAAGCCUGUUCAAGUCUCAGAUAGAUGAAAAGAGCAGCCAAAGAAACAGAUCUGUUGAAGCAUCAAUUGGAAAGGAUGGGAGGGUUGGAGGAGGAGCACAGCUGGAUGACUACAUUAGAUUGUGGCAUAUGAGGUCUGUUGAAGCAUCAAUAGGAAAGGAUGAAAGGGAGGGAGGCAGGAAGAGGAAAACACAGAAGAGCAGAUGAGGAGCACUCUAUGUUCUGCUUCCAUGUUCUGCUGGAGGACAUCAUGGAGGAAGAGGGAGAGGGUCUAUGAUAGGCAGUUUGCCAUGGCCCUAAAUGGGCCUUUGAAUGUUAAUUCUUCCUGCUUCAUAUCAUACAACUUUACAAUAAAAAUUAAAUGCAAGCAUCA
This is a long non-coding RNA of Oncorhynchus gorbuscha (pink salmon), 823 nucleotides long. RefSeq lists it as uncharacterized. NCBI's taxonomy places the organism in Eukaryota, Metazoa, Chordata, Actinopteri, Salmoniformes, Salmonidae. The transcript is spliced from 3 exons. The record is from RefSeq and is a predicted model, not a curated record.